RNAcentral lists this ribosomal RNA (435 nucleotides) under uncultured bacterium. RNAcentral's name for it is "partial 16S ribosomal RNA". It matches the Rfam family "Bacterial small subunit ribosomal RNA", at positions 29 to 507 of the family's 1533-position model. The record is from RNAcentral.
AGCGAACGCUGGCGGCAGGCUUAACACAUGCAAGUCGAGCGGGCAUCUUCGGAUGUCAGCGGCAGACGGGUGCGUAACACGUGGGAACGUACCCUUCGGUUCGGAACAACUCUGGGAAACUGGAGCUAAUACCGGAUACGCCCUUAUGGGGAAAGGUUUACUGCCGAAGGAUCGGCCCGCGUCUGAUUAGCUAGUUGGUGGGGUAACGGCCUACCAAGGCGACGAUCAGUAGCUGGUCUGAGAGGAUGAUCAGCCACACUGGGACUGAGACACGGCCCAGACUCCUACGGGAAGCAGCAGUGGGGAAUAUUGGACAAUGGGCGCAAGCCUGAUCCAGCCAUGCCGCGUGAGUGAUGAAGGCCUUAGGGUUGUAAAGCUCUUUUGUCCGGGACGAUAAUGACGGUACCGGAAGAAUAAGCCCCGGCUAACUACGUG